AUACGGAGGAUCCGAGCGUUAUCCGGAUUUAUUGGGUUUAAAGGGUGCGCAGGCGGCCAUUUAAGUCAGCGGUUAAAUCGUGGGGCUCAACCCCAUUCUGCCGUUGAUACUGGGUGGCUUGAUUGGGUCGAGGUUGGCGGAAUUCGUUGUGUAGCGGUGAAAUGCAUAGAUAUGACGAAGAACACCGAUUGCGUAGGCAGCUGACCAGACCGCAAAUGACGCUCAUGCACGAAAGUGCGGGGAUCGAAUAGGAUUAGAUACCCUGGUAGUCCGCACAGUAAACGAUGAGUACUUGUUUUCGGCGAUAUAAUGUCGGAGGCAAAGCGAAAGCGAUAAGUAUUCCACCUGGGGAGUACGCCGGCAACGGUGAAACUCAAAGGAAUUGACGGGG
RNAcentral lists this ribosomal RNA (391 nucleotides) under uncultured bacterium. RNAcentral describes it as "partial 16S ribosomal RNA". It matches the Rfam family "Bacterial small subunit ribosomal RNA", at positions 523 to 918 of the family's 1533-position model. The record is from RNAcentral.